CUUUUAUGGAGAGUUUGAUCCUGGCUCAGGACGAACGCUGGCGGCGUGCCUAAUACAUGCAAGUCGAGCGGAGUGGUUUGAAAGCUUGCUUUCAAACUGCUUAGCGGCGGACGGGUGAGUAACACGUAGGCAACCUGCCUGCAGGACUGGGAUAACAUUCGGAAACGAAUGCUAAUACCGGAUAAUCGAUUUCCUCGCAUGGGGAGAUCGGGAAAGACGGAGCAAUCUGUCACCUGUGGAUGG
Molecule: ribosomal RNA, 243 nt
Filed under: Paenibacillus cellulosilyticus
Lineage: Bacteria; Bacillati; Bacillota; Bacilli; Caryophanales; Paenibacillaceae
Description: partial 16S ribosomal RNA
Rfam family: Bacterial small subunit ribosomal RNA
Source: RNAcentral